This is a non-coding RNA of Xiphophorus couchianus (Monterrey platyfish), 507 nucleotides long. The record is from the annotation of a RefSeq genome assembly. Lineage: Eukaryota; Metazoa; Chordata; Actinopteri; Cyprinodontiformes; Poeciliidae.
CACUGUGGUACACGUUCGGUGGAGGAACCAGACUGGAGUUUGGAAGUGAUACCCGGCCCACUCUGACAGUGCUGCCCCCCUCCAGUGAGGAGCUGCAGAAAGGGACAAUCACCUUCAUGUGUCUGGCCAACAAGGGCUUCCCCUCAGACUGGACUCUAUCCUGGAAGCUGGACGGCAGCAGAAGCAGCAGCAGCAGCUGGGAGGAGAGCAGGAGCUCCGGGGUGCUGCAGAAUGACGGCCUCUAUAGCUGGAGCAGCACCCUGAGGCUCCCUGCAGACCAGUGGAGGAAGGUGGGCUCUGUGAGCUGUGAGGCCUCCCAGGGCUCCCAGUGUGCAGUAACAGAGACCAUCAAGAGAGACCAGUGUCUCUAAAUUGAAUGUGUAGCUGAUUUUACCUUUGCUUUCAUGUUUUCUUAUUACCAGCUUCUCUGUUUCAUUCUGAAUGUGCUUGAUAUUGUUUUAAAGUGGACUGAUUCAAUUUUAUAAACAAUAAAAGUUUCACAAAUGC